UUAAGCGACUAAGCGUACACGGUGGAUGCCCUGGCAGUCAGAGGCGAUGAAGGACGUGCUAAUCUGCGAUAAGCGUCGGUAAGGUGAUAUGAACCGUUAUAACCGGCGAUUUCCGAAUGGGGAAACCCAGUGUGAUUCGUCACACUAUCAUUAACUGAAUCCAUAGGUUAAUGAGGCGAACCGGGGGAACUGAAACAUCUAAGUACCCCGAGGAAAAGAAAUCAACCGAGAUUCCCCCAGUAGCGGCGAGCGAACGGGGAGCAGCCCAGAGCCUGAAUCAGUGUGUGUGUUAGUGGAAGCGUCUGGAAAGGCGCGCGAUACAGGGUGACAGCCCCGUACACAAAAAUGCACAUACUGUGAGCUCGAUGAGUAGGGCGGGACACGUGGUAUCCUGUCUGAAUAUGGGGGGACCAUCCUCCAAGGCUAAAUACUCCUGACUGACCGAUAGUGAACCAGUACCGUGAGGGAAAGGCGAAAAGAACCCCGGCGAGGGGAGUGAAAAAGAACCUGAAACCGUGUACGUACAAGCAGUGGGAGCACAGAGCAAUCUGUGUGACUGCGUACCUUUUGUAUAAUGGGUCAGCGACUUAUAUUCUGUAGCAAGGUUAACCGAAUAGGGGAGCCGAAGGGAAACCGNGCUUAGGCGUGUGACUGCGUACCUUUUGUAUAAUGGGUCAGCGACUUAUAUUCUGUAGCAAGGUUAACCGAAUAGGGGAGCCGAAGGGAAACCGAGUCUUAACUGGGCGUUAAGUUGCAGGGUAUAGACCCGAAACCCGGUGAUCUAGCCAUGGGCAGGUUGAAGGUUGGGUAACACUAACUGGAGGACCGAACCGACUAAUGUUGAAAAAUUAGCGGAUGACUUGUGGCUGGGGGUGAAAGGCCAAUCAAACCGGGAGAUAGCUGGUUCUCCCCGAAAGCUAUUUAGGUAGCGCCUCGUGAAUUCAUCUCCGGGGGUAGAGCACUGUUUCGGCAAGGGGGUCAUCCCGACUUACCAACCCGAUGCAAACUGCGAAUACCGGAGAAUGUUAUCACGGGAGACACACGGCGGGUGCUAACGUCCGUCGUGAAGAGGGAAACAACCCAGACCGCCAGCUAAGGUCCCAAAGUCAUGGUUAAGUGGGAAACGAUGUGGGAAGGCCCAGACAGCCAGGAUGUUGGCUUAGAAGCAGCCAUCAUUUAAAGAAAGCGUAAUAGCUCACUGGUCGAGUCGGCCUGCGCGGAAGAUGUAACGGGGCUAAACCAUGCACCGAAGCUGCGGCAGCGACGCUUAUGCGUUGUUGGGUAGGGGAGCGUUCUGUAAGCCUGCGAAGGUGUGCUGUGAGGCAUGCUGGAGGUAUCAGAAGUGCGAAUGCUGACAUAAGUAACGAUAAAGCGGGUGAAAAGCCCGCUCGCCGGAAGACCAAGGGUUCCUGUCCAACGUUAAUCGGGGCAGGGUGAGUCGACCCCUAAGGCGAGGCCGAAAGGCGUAGUCGAUGGGAAACAGGUUAAUAUUCCUGUACUUGGUGUUACUGCGAAGGGGGGACGGAGAAGGCUAUGUUGGCCGGGCGACGGUUGUCCCGGUUUAAGCGUGUAGGCUGGUUUUCCAGGCAAAUCCGGAAAAUCAAGGCUGAGGCGUGAUGACGAGGCACUACGGUGCUGAAGCAACAAAUGCCCUGCUUCCAGGAAAAGCCUCUAAGCAUCAGGUAACAUCAAAUCGUACCCCAAACCGACACAGGUGGUCAGGUAGAGAAUACCAAGGCGCUUGAGAGAACUCGGGUGAAGGAACUAGGCAAAAUGGUGCCGUAACUUCGGGAGAAGGCACGCUGAUAUGUAGGUGAAGUCCCUCGCGGAUGGAGCUGAAAUCAGUCGAAGAUACCAGCUGGCUGCAACUGUUUAUUAAAAACACAGCACUGUGCAAACACGAAAGUGGACGUAUACGGUGUGACGCCUGCCCGGUGCCGGAAGGUUAAUUGAUGGGGUCAGCGCAAGCGAAGCUCUUGAUCGAAGCCCCGGUAAACGGCGGCCGUAACUAUAACGGUCCUAAGGUAGCGAAAUUCCUUGUCGGGUAAGUUCCGACCUGCACGAAUGGCGUAAUGAUGGCCAGGCUGUCUCCACCCGAGACUCAGUGAAAUUGAACUCGCUGUGAAGAUGCAGUGUACCCGCGGCAAGACGGAAAGACCCCGUGAACCUUUACUAUAGCUUGACACUGAACAUUGAGCCUUGAUGUGUAGGAUAGGUGGGAGGCUUUGAAGUGUGGACGCCAGUCUGCAUGGAGCCGACCUUGAAAUACCACCCUUUAAUGUUUGAUGUUCUAACGUGGACCCGUGAUCCGGGUUGCGGACAGUGUCUGGUGGGUAGUUUGACUGGGGCGGUCUCCUCCUAAAGAGUAACGGAGGAGCACGAAGGUUGGCUAAUCCUGGUCGGACAUCAGGAGGUUAGUGCAAUGGCAUAAGCCAGCUUGACUGCGAGCGUGACGGCGCGAGCAGGUGCGAAAGCAGGUCAUAGUGAUCCGGUGGUUCUGAAUGGAAGGGCCAUCGCUCAACGGAUAAAAGGUACUCCGGGGAUAACAGGCUGAUACCGCCCAAGAGUUCAUAUCGACGGCGGUGUUUGGCACCUCGAUGUCGGCUCAUCACAUCCUGGGGCUGAAGUAGGUCCCAAGGGUAUGGCUGUUCGCCAUUUAAAGUGGUACGCGAGCUGGGUUUAGAACGUCGUGAGACAGUUCGGUCCCUAUCUGCCGUGGGCGCUGGAGAACUGAGGGGGGCUGCUCCUAGUACGAGAGGACCGGAGUGGACGCAUCACUGGUGUUCGGGUUGUCAUGCCAAUGGCACUGCCCGGUAGCUAAAUGCGGAAGAGAUAAGUGCUGAAAGCAUCUAAGCACGAAACUUGCCCCGAGAUGAGUUCUCCCUGAC
RNAcentral lists this ribosomal RNA (2888 nucleotides) under Escherichia coli. RNAcentral describes it as "bacterial LSU rRNA". It matches the Rfam family "Bacterial large subunit ribosomal RNA". The record is from RNAcentral. Lineage: Bacteria; Pseudomonadati; Pseudomonadota; Gammaproteobacteria; Enterobacterales; Enterobacteriaceae.